GACGAACGCUGGCGGCGUGCCUAAUACAUGCAAGUCGAGCGCAGGAAGCCGUCUGAACCCUUCGGGGGGACGACGGUGGAAUGAGCGGCGGACGGGUGAGUAACACGUAAAGAACCUGCCCAUAGGUCUGGGAUAACCACGAGAAAUCGGGGCUAAUACCGGAUGUGUCAUCGGACCGCAUGGGCCGAUGAUGAAAGGCGCUCCGGCGUCGCCCAUGGAUGGCUUUGCGGUGCAUUAGCUAGUUGGUGAGGUAACGGCCCACCAAGGCGACGAUGCAUAGCCGACCUGGGAGGGUGAUCGGCCACACUGGGACUGAGACACGGCCCAGACUCCUACGGGAGGCAGCAGUAGGGAAUCUUCCACAAUGGACGAAAGUCUGAUGGAGCAACGCCGCGUGAACGAUGAAGGCUUUCGGGUCGUAAAGUUCUGUUGUAAGGGAAGAACAAGUGCCGCAGGCAAUGGCGGCACCUUGACGGUACCUUGCGAGAAAGCCACGGCUAACUACGUGCCAGCAGUCGCAGUAA
This 524-nucleotide ribosomal RNA is filed under the name uncultured bacterium. RNAcentral's name for it is "partial 16S ribosomal RNA". It matches the Rfam family "Bacterial small subunit ribosomal RNA", at positions 28 to 523 of the family's 1533-position model. The record is from RNAcentral.